Molecule: long non-coding RNA, 762 nt
Organism: Alligator mississippiensis (American alligator)
Lineage: Eukaryota; Metazoa; Chordata; Crocodylia; Alligatoridae
Exons: 2
Source: RefSeq, a predicted model, not a curated record
GCUUGUAGGCGUAGUGUAAGUCUUCCAAGACAAGCAGUGCCUACUCCUGGGAGUAUACCUGCUAAAGAACACCCGACUAACACUCCUUUGGGCACUCGCAGGUUAGAGAACAGGGAAAGGAGCAGCAGGGGAGUCUCCAUCCUGGGCUUCAGAAGAAAUGAAUCUCGCAGGAGGCAGGAGGAGGCGGCGUCCGGGCUGGCCUUGGACUGAGGAUCCUGAACUUGAGACCCAUAUUUAAGCAGGCCGGCUGAGAGGGGGCAUUUGCAUGAGGGUCUGCAGGAGGCUACAAACAGGGCCAGGCUAGGAGUGGGGUAUCCCCAGGGGGAACCACUGGCAUCUGGCUUUGAGUCCUUUGGAUAUAGGUGCCCUGGAAACCUGCUGAACAGGGACACAAUUCAGUUAGCCCAGGAAGCAGCAGGGGCCAGCCCCUCGGUGGGCUUGUGGGGCUGGGUGUGCAGGGGCUCCAACAAAGGCUGCAUCGGCAUUGCUUUCACAGAGACCAGCCCUUGCUUGGACAUAAGGAUUCAACCACGUGAGGAAAUCUAUUGCACGUGAUGAUGGGCCCAGUAAUGGGACCAAGCUGGGCUAUUCCACGUGGGGAAGGUGGCUGAAUCCACUGCUCCCUCUUGAAAUCUCUUCUCUGCUGAAUACGCCAAAAAGGACCUGCCCGGGAUUGCCUCGGAUGGGAGCGAUAUUUGUAGAGCUGGGAUGGGACAAUUUUUGACAGGAGUGAUGGAAUUGAAAGUGUGAUUUGCUCUCCCA